UACAGAGGGUGCAAGCGUUAUCCGGAAUCACUGGGCGUAAAGCGUCUGUAGGUGGUUUAAUAAGUCAACUGUUAAAUCUUGAGGCUCAACCUCAAAAUCGCAGUCGAAACUAUUAGGCUAGAGUAUAGUAGGGGUAAAGGGAAUUUCCAGUGGAGCGGUGAAAUGCGUAGAGAUUGGAAAGAACACCGAUGGCGAAGGCACUUUACUGGGCUAUUACUAACACUCAGAGACGAAAGCUAGGGUAGCAAAUGGG
RNAcentral lists this ribosomal RNA (253 nucleotides) under uncultured bacterium. RNAcentral describes it as "partial 16S ribosomal RNA". It matches the Rfam family "Bacterial small subunit ribosomal RNA", at positions 524 to 776 of the family's 1533-position model. The record is from RNAcentral.